This 380-nucleotide unclassified non-coding RNA is filed under the name soil metagenome. Its description in RNAcentral is "partial contains 5.8S ribosomal RNA, internal transcribed spacer 2, and large subunit ribosomal RNA". The stretch from base 1 to 120 matches the Rfam family "5.8S ribosomal RNA", at positions 35 to 154 of the family's 154-position model. The record is from RNAcentral.
GAUGAAGAACGUAGCGAAAUGCGAUAAGUAAUGUGAAUUGCAGAAUUCAGUGAAUCAUCGAAUCUUUGAACGCACCUUGCACCCUUUGGCAUUCUGAAGGGUAUGCUCGUUUGAGUGUCAUUGUACUCUCACACUCCCGAUCUUUGCAUUGGGAGCAGUGGACUUGGGUUUGCUGCUUCACCGUCGCUUACCUCAAAUAGGUUAGUGCAACUCUUGGUUGGACAUAGUACGGCGUGAUAAGUGUUCUUCGCCGGUGCCUCGCAAAGAGGGUGGCCGAUCGGGAUGUUGUGCUCCAAACCGUCUUCGGACAAUCUCUGACGACUUGAGCUCAAAUCGAGUAAGACUACCCGCUGAACUUAAGCAUAUCAAUAAGCGGAGGA